Sciurus carolinensis (gray squirrel) is the source of this 537-nucleotide non-coding RNA. The record is from the annotation of a RefSeq genome assembly. Lineage: Eukaryota; Metazoa; Chordata; Mammalia; Rodentia; Sciuridae.
CCAGCACUGGACUCCAGCUCAUCCCACUCAGUGGUCAGGACUCAACACAGGCUGCUCACCAUGGACUGUGUGCUCAGCUGGGUUUUCCUUGUGGCUGUUUUCAAAGGUGUGCAGUGUGAGGUGCAGCUGGUAGAGUCUGGGGGAGGCCUGGUGCAGCCUGGGGGGUCCCUACGACUCUCCUGUGCAGCCUCUGGUUUCACCUUCAGUAGCUACGACAUGAGCUGGGUCCGCCAGGCUCCAGGGAAGGGGCUGGAGUGGAUCUCACGCAUUAGUGGUAGUAGUGCUACCAUUAACUACGCGGACUCAGUGAAGGGCCGGUUCACCAUCUCCAGAGACAACUCCAAGAACACGCUGUACCUGCAAAUGAGCAGCCUGAGAGCCGAGGACACGGCCACCUAUUACUGUACUACAGACACAGCCCAGGUCAGCAGUGCAGCAGGCUCCAUGACAGGAGAGGUGGCUGUCAGCAUUGAGGAUGGCACGGGGCAGGCGCACCUGGGGACAAGGGUUGAUGGACAGUCCUCCCUGAAAGAAUGA